UGGGCGUAAAGCGAGCGCAGGCGGUUUUUUAAGUCUGAUGUGAAAGCCUUCGGCUCAACCGAAGAAGUGCAUCGGAAACUGGGAAACUUGAGUGCAGAAGAGGACAGUGGAACUCCAUGUGUAGCGGUGAAAUGCGUAGAUAUAUGGAAGAACACCAGUGGCGAAGGCGGCUGUCUGGUCUGUAACUGACGCUGAGGCUCGAAAGUAUGG
This 210-nucleotide ribosomal RNA is filed under the name Lactiplantibacillus plantarum. RNAcentral describes it as "Lactobacillus plantarum partial 16S ribosomal RNA". It matches the Rfam family "Bacterial small subunit ribosomal RNA", at positions 555 to 764 of the family's 1533-position model. The record is from RNAcentral. Lineage: Bacteria; Bacillati; Bacillota; Bacilli; Lactobacillales; Lactobacillaceae.